Unclassified non-coding RNA from Panthera pardus (leopard), 309 nucleotides. Its record names the gene 7SK. It matches the Rfam family "7SK RNA". From Rfam's summary of the family: 7SK was discovered as an abundant small nuclear RNA in the mid-70s but a possible function has only recently been suggested. Two independent studies have found that 7SK RNA binds the CDK9/cyclin T complex (known as elongation factor P-TEFb). P-TEFb activates transcription by phosphorylating the C-terminal domain of RNA polymerase II. The record is from Ensembl. NCBI's taxonomy places the organism in Eukaryota, Metazoa, Chordata, Mammalia, Carnivora, Felidae.
GGAUGUGUGGGCAAUCUGGCUGUGACAUCUGUCACCCCAUUGAUCACGAGUGCUGAUUUGGCUGAUCUGGCUGGCAUGUUUCCCUGUCCUCCCUCACCACUCCAUGUGCAUCCUUCCUGAAGCCAUGAACUCCAAGAGGAAGUCCUCCUGCAAUGGAAAAGUCGAGGGUAUAUGAGGAGCUGUGAUCCCAUGCUAGAACCUCCAAUCAAGCUCUCAAGGUCCAUUUUUAGGGGAACAUAGAGCAGUCAAGCUCUCUAGACAGUAGACACAUCCAAAUGAAGCACAACAUGUGGCAGUCUGUUUUUCCUU